This 2182-nucleotide long non-coding RNA is filed under the name Phaseolus vulgaris (common bean). Its description in RNAcentral is "long non-coding RNA (PVUL_LNC001835)". The record is from RNAcentral. Lineage: Eukaryota; Viridiplantae; Streptophyta; Magnoliopsida; Fabales; Fabaceae.
CAUUUCAAGAAACAAUAAUAUUUUGAGUACAUUGAUGAAUAUAUGUUAAUUUUAUUUUAUUUUGUCUCAAUUCAGUUAACAAUUUGAUUUUGUAAUUAUGUCUUUCAAGUGAUGAUGACAUGGUUUGAGGGAUUUGUAUGUGGUAGGAAUUUAAAAGUUAGGUUAGAACUUUAACAUUUUAUUUGGUAUUCACACUAUAGAAUUCCUCACUCGAACCAUGAUGAAUAGUUUUAAAUAGAAAAACAUUAGAUUCAGCACUCAAAUAUUUUUUUUAAAACUCAAUUGAGUAAGAAACCAAAUUAAUCUUAUCUUCUCUAAAAGUUUUGGUUCUUCAAAGUUCCUUGAAACACUUAGCAAACUAAAUCAUUUUUUUUUCCUCUAAUAAAAUAUCAUUCAAGUAUUGAUUUUUGUAGCUUUUACAAAAAAAAAAGUUAAUGUUUAUUAUCUCCUUUCUUAAAUGAUUAAUAUGUUAGUUUAAGAUAACAAUGAAAGAAUGAUGUGUUGUAGUAAUAUUGUUGUAUUAAUUGGGAUUACAUCGUAUGAGUAUAAAUUGAGUAAUAUGUUGAUAGAUUUAGAUAAGAAAUAUUUGAUACAUAGGAUGAUAUUUUAGGCAAGUUGUAUUUUUUUUAUUAGCAAGAAACAACUAAAAUAAAUUGGUCCACUUAAGAAGUGUCCAACCCUCAUAUAGAGUAAGAAUGAACAAAAGUAUAUUUUCAACUACACAAUUAAAAUCAUAAAGAGUUUAUCUCCUACUGCCUUCCCCAACACUACCAACUAAAGAAGAAUCAUUAAAUUGAAUACAUACAUAAUGAUUCUAAACAUCACUCAGAGAACGAAAAAUUCACUAAGGGUAUCUUUGAAACGAUUCAAGACCAAACAUUAACCUGUAAUAGGAAAAAACUUCAUAAAACAAGUUGUAUUUUAUGAUACUAAAUUUUAGAUUCUAUUAAUAAUUUUUAGUCAAAUAAUAACUAAUUAAUUUUUGUUCGUAUGUAUUAAGAUAUUAAGCGAUAAUAAAUUUUUGCAAUUUGUAGAGGUGAAAUGUGAAUAUGAAAGAGUUUAUGAAUGUAUUAAAAAAUUUAGAAUAUUUAAUUAAAUAAUGUGUGUAUGCAUAAUUAUGAGUUAUGAUUCAUUGAAUUACUUUUAAAUUUGUUUUAUGAUUAACCAUUUUUAUAAUCCUUCUUAAUUAACAUCUCCAUGUUUAUUAUGUGUAUGUAUAUCUACAGUAAAAAACAAGUUACAAUAAUUAGUAAUAUGAUAUUUCAGACUUCUAACGAACCACUAAUAAAUUAGUCUUCUAGAUGCAACUAAAUAUUUUCUUAAACAAACCAUAUUAUAAAUACAAGUUGUGUCUGAAUAAAAAAAAAAUAACAAGAGUAGAGUUUUAUCUGUGUUGUUAACGUAAAGAAAUACAAAACAAAACCUGCACAUACCUGGUCGUUACAUAUUCCAACAACAAGGGUAAAAACCUGCAAAUCGAUCCACACAAAGCAUCCUUACUUUCAAUUUGUCACAUGAACACAUCUUAGAAUGAUUCCAAACAAAAUUAAAACUCUUGCAAGAUCAAAACUCUGCACUGAUCCACUGUUUGAGAGAAAGGUAUCCAAAGUUAUGAAGACUCAGAAAAUAUAUUUGUUUUUUUCCUAACUGAUCACUCAGAUCUCAAGGAGAAUGUAGUAGAAUGGUAGAUGAAGAGUUGAAUCCCAAGAGUUAAACAAUAUUCUCAGAUCUUCAUCUUGAAGGAAGGAAAAAAAAAAAAAAAAUUGGUUGGUUGGUUGCAUCUGCUGCAUGCAUUCCAUGGAAGAAGAGACCAAUGGACAAGGAAAGAGACAGGCGUUUGAGUUGCCCAAGUUUUCUAGCAAGUGCAUGUGUAUUAUUAUACCAGGAGUGGUAUAAAAAUUAUUAUAAUAGAAUAUUAUAAUAAUAAAAAAUAAAAAGAAAAUUGAUGAAUGUUGGAAAGAGGAGGAGCAUAAGGGAGAGAAGAUAAAGAACACGCGCCGGGUGGAUGUAUGCAUGGGGUGAGUGAGUGAAUGAGGAGUGGGACCCGCAGGGAAUGAAAAGGAGAAAGAGAAGCGCGUGAGUAGAUGAAAAACACGACAAGAAGAAGAACAGGAAGAGGAACAUAGAACAAGAAGUACCCAGAUUGAGAUUUGGAUUGAAUUGUGAGUAGUGUGACCUUUGC